CCUCGUCCCUCUUGCCGCCGUCGCCUCCGCUGUCGAGUAGUGAGCGAGAGCAGCGAGAGGAACAACGAGCGAGCGAGCAGCCAGCCUUUCAUGGCCUCCGCCCUCUCUCUUCCCCACCCCUCUCCCCUCACCACAAGAGAAGAGAGGCAGGGAGAUCGACCGAGCAGAUCAGGCGGCGGCCGGCCAUCGGACGGGAGGGCGCCCAGAUCCAUCCGCCCCGAUCCGGCCAUGGGACUGGACUCAAAAUCGCGAGCAAGCGGCCGUGUGUCUCCUUCCUUCUGUUCGACGGGGCCAUGCGUAGGAGGAAGGAAGGAGGAGAAAGGAAGAGGCCGCCGGUGUGCGAGGUACGGCGUUGGAAUCGAUGGGGAUGGUUGCUCCUCCCAAGAUUCAGUUAUGGCAUGGACAUGUAUGCUGAAUAUCCCCUCACUGGACAAGAUUGGAUUUUAGUGUAUACAAGCCCUCCUCUCAGCUGCUCAGGUAGUUCUUCUUUCUCAUUAUCAAUAAAUAAGUUGGUUACAAAAUAUGCUUGAAGAUUGCAACAAAGAGAGAUUACCCGGCAGACUAAAAUAAUUGGGAGCUUCUGAUUGGACCCUUCAAGCAAUAGUGUUGUUAAUAUGUUAAUUAUUAGAUUAUGUUACUAGAAUAAUUAUUGGAGACACACACAUGCACACACACACAAACACACAAUUAUGUCUGUUCAUGUAUUAUAUCCUUAUAUGCAAACUACUUUUUUUUCCUUAUACACAGGGACCUAUGUUCUAUGUUGGAUGCAUAUUUUUUCACCGCUUUUGAAAUUAUUAUGGUGCAUCAGUGAUAUACCUAGCUUGUACUCAUUCCAACCGAAGGAGUGUGUCUUUAAUUUUCCUUUUAAGAAGAAACCUUCUGCAGUGAUAUGUCUCUAUAUUGGCAAAUGAUUAUGAUAGAAAUACCAGGAAGCUAAUUGGAACUCAUAAAGUUCAUGAGCAUCACGGAUGACAGGUUCACCUUUUUUCUUUUCUUUAUCUUACUCAGAGCCCACAGUGUGAUAAAUUUUAUUUUAUGUCUGCAACUUUUGGUAUCACAAAGCAAGGAUGAACCCUCUACAUCGUACUGCACCUUCAACUACUUCAUUUGUUGUGCUAUUGUGGAUGUACCUACCUGAUAUUUGAAUAAACUUUAGCCAUUCAAUAUACAUACCCGGAAAUUUAGACGCUCUUGUUCGUCACAGGCAUAAACACCUUACUGCAAAUGUUCUUUGUGUCUCGCCUCCACGUCGUGAUGGGUGGCUCCUACAGCUUCGCCAUGCCAACCAUCUCCAUGAGGUAGCUGUGCUUCUGGAUGAGCGGGCUAGCCAUGAGGCAAGGAGCAGCAAGGUCUGAGAGAAAAGGAGAAGGGGAUGAAUCUUGAGGAAGUGCUUGGUGAAGAAAAUAUGAUGUUCCUGAUGGCAAUGCUGGUAAUUAACAAUGAGAAAGAAGGAAGUGAGAUUGGAUUUGUACUAGGACAACGCCUCCCCAAGAUCUGGACCGGAUGCCACUGCGCGGCGUGAUUCCGGAUCGCGAGCAGAUUGCCGCCAUAUUUAUCUCUCUGUUUUCAGAGUCCCUCCCUAUUGCUAUCUCCCGCCUGAGUUUGCGUCGCUGUUGUGCGUUGUCUCUCCAUUCAUGCCUGCUCUUGACAGGAGCAGCACGGGCUGCCACACAACAUGCUUUACCUAGGACGGACUGCAGGUGGCCUCUAAUAUGGGUAGUGAGGAGUUCAAUUUUUCUAUACAAUCUCUAGGAGUUUAAUUAGGUAGCCUCUAAUAUGGGCUCUUGCCCAUUUUAUGUCCAAAAUCUAAUUGACCUUCUAAGUUUGCUAUAUAUACUAAAGGUUAUCAUGGUUUUAAUUGUACUGUGACUGGUUUACGGUUAUUAUUUUCUGUGUUUUCUGGCAAGUGCGCAUGUUUUGAAAUUAAGCUUCUUAAGAAAAUGAAAAUUAUAAUAAGGACAAGCAUGUUUCUUAUCUUCAUAAUUCAGUCAUAAACUAAUGGUCUUAGUUAUAUGGUGGUCUUUGAUCCUACCUCAAGGAACAAAGUUUCCAUCCUCUGUUCGGGGUUAUUCAAAGCUUGCCAUUGUUUUUCAAAAAAUUACUUGCAGAAUAUUAAUGCCAUCAUAUGCUCUAAUUCUCUGGUAGGCUGAUUCAUUGUGCUCAUUCGAUAAUUCUAUUACAUCAAGUUCAGGACGAUAUUGAGGCACGUGGCACCAAUGAUACAGACUCGUGUGGUGUUAUCAAGCGUUAAAGAGCUAGAAAAAGAUUUCGCAAGGGCAAGUUUUCAUGUUCUUUUCCUGUCUCCCGUCUCAGAUUUUUAUCCGUUCUUGUUUCCAGCUUCUUUGUAUCCAUAGCCUAUUAAUUAGUACUACAGUUGUUGCUUGUGAGGGGCCUAGCAACAUUGCUUCAUGCUGGUAUAGUUUCUUUCAUAUUUUCUUUAGUUUGGGGACAACAAUAGUUCUAUGGUCCUGCAUGUAUAAUAGAUGUACCCAUUGUUUCGCUUGCUCUGCUCGGUUGAGUUCUUCUCUAUUUUCCUUUUUAAUUUUUGACCUUUAUGAAAGGAAAGGGACAAGCGCUUCGCCUAAAACACCUAGGUACCAAGCCUGCCUUUGUCCUCUGCUACAUUUUGCACAAUCUGUUGUUUUGCCAGCACCUGAUAUACUUUUAUAUUUAAAUGCAGCAACUCACUAUGCCCUAAGAGCGCUCGUCGCAAAUUCUUUGCUUCACCUUCCAAGACCAAGGGAGCUGCACUGCCCGAGUCCAUAGUCAUACCUAGACGAGUUAUUUUAUUUCCUAUAGCUCUAUUACUUUUUCCUUGGAACCUGUCUCUCUAUUCCCCUUUACAAUACCAUACUCGGGAGGCAAGAAUGAAAAAUAUGCUUGAAUUGUAAUGUGGGUCCAAAGAAAUAUGUGUGAAUGGAAUAAGAAUUGUAUAUAGUUAUUGAUACAACAUCUUCGAGUAUAUAAAUUAAAUGACACCACUAUCUGAAAGUUACUUGUGUCUGCUUCCCCUCUUGAAAUUAACAUUUUGUUUUGAUUUUUCGGUACAUUAGUAAGGUCACUCAUCAAGGAAGUAUCUUCUCGGUACUUGCAUGAUGAAGGAAAAAAAUUGGUUUUCUAACUGCUUUGGAAAGUACAACCGUACAAGUAUGCGACAUAAUAAUGCUUGGAAAUUGGCAAAUGGCUGCAUCAUUUGAGCUAUUUUGGCGUCUCUGCCAUCCGAUUGUUGCUCAGUUUUUCUUUUGAAACGAGGCUAUCUAGAGUAUUUCAAGUUGUGGUUUAGGAAGACAAUUGUUGGUUAUAGUGAAUGACUUCGUCGGACUAUUUGUUCAUUUGGCUAUCUUAAUGCAGUCCCAUGUGCAUACAUUUUGCAGGCAUCAGUGAAGAUUUGGGAGGCAGAGAGGGAUUGCUCAAGUGGAAACAGAGCAAGAACCACAAGGAGCUCAAGAUAUGUGCCCGAAUAAUAUUAAUGUACACUCUUUCAAUACAUGGCUUACUCUUGGCCUUUGCGCCAUUGGCGCAACUGGUCAUCUAGUAUAUGGAAAAGUUCUAGUGAGGGCGGGAAAACUUUAGUUCCACAAGUAUUUUGGGUUUCUCUGGUGCUGCUUGGUGCUGGAGAAUAGCCUAUUUGGACAUAAUGUUGUGUGGGGAGAGGGAGGGAUGGAUCCCUCUCUCAACAUAGCAUUGUCAGCUUUUGCCUCGAUGGGCCUUGAGUCUGUUUUAGUAAGUGUUAGGUCCGGAGUCUGUUUUUUUAAGCCAAGACCGUAGAACAAUUGUUCCACCGUAAUUUUUCAUUAAUUAAAUAUGUACACAUACAAAAGCCUAA
Triticum dicoccoides is the source of this 3829-nucleotide long non-coding RNA. RefSeq lists it as uncharacterized. NCBI's taxonomy places the organism in Eukaryota, Viridiplantae, Streptophyta, Magnoliopsida, Poales, Poaceae. The record is from RefSeq and is a predicted model, not a curated record. The transcript has 6 exons.